ACUCAAAAAUACCCCGUUAAUGGAAACAAAACAAAUGCGUUUUUCUUGCUCACUCUGGUUCUCGCUCAAGCUUGAAGCUUCCAUGGGAGAAGCUUGAAGCUCUCUUGCUCCCUCUCUCUCCAUCUCUCUCUUCGUCCUUCUCUCUCUGUCUACCUCUCUCCUCCUCUCUCUCAUCAGUUCAAACCCUAGAAAUUGGGGAUUUCCAAUAUUAAAGUGGUUAGACAGGAUUCUGGACGAAGCUGCCAUGGUCCAAAAGAUUCCCGAUCAGUCACCUGAUCCUGCUGUGGUCAUGGAGCAAUAUCGGGCUAAGAAAGCCAGACAAAUGGACCUAUAUGGCAAGGCAGAAGCAAGCCUCAAGGAGCUAGAAGCCAUAGAACAAGAGAAGCAAAGAGUUCGGGCACAAAUAGAGGCAGACAGGCUACAUCGGGCAAAACUGAUUCUGGAGCUGCAAGAACUCGAGAGGCAGACUAGUGCAAGCGAGCCGGUGAUUGAUGCGCUAACUUCCCAAGCCAUUGCACUCACACUAGCUGAGACAGAGGCCAAUUCACUUCAAAAAUCCAUUAAUAUAGAAUUUGAGAAUGUAAAAGACUUGGUCUCUACAGCUUUGGCUUUUAUGAAAUAAUCACCGUUCGAGGCAAUUAAGAUUUUCCUUAA
This is a long non-coding RNA of Prunus avium (sweet cherry), 654 nucleotides long. RefSeq lists it as uncharacterized. The record is from RefSeq and is a predicted model, not a curated record. Lineage: Eukaryota; Viridiplantae; Streptophyta; Magnoliopsida; Rosales; Rosaceae.